GACGAACGCUGGCGGCGUGCUUAACACAUGCAAGUCGAGCGGAAAGGCCACUUCGGUGGUACUCGAGCGGCGAACGGGUGAGUAACACGUGAGUAAUCUGCCCCUGGCUUUGGGAUAGCCACCGGAAACGGUGAUUAAUACCGGAUACGACCACUUCUCGCAUGGGAUGGUGGUGGAAAGUUUUUUCGGCCAGGGAUGUGCUCGCGGCCUAUCAGCUUGAUGGUGAGGUAAUGGCUCACCAUGGCUUCGACGGGUAGCCGGCCUGAGAGGGUGAACGGACACAGUGGGACUGAGACGCGGCCCAGACUCCUACGGGAGGCAGCAGUGGGGAAUAUUGGACAAUGGGCGGAAGCCUGAUCCAGCAACGCCGCGUGAGGGAUGACGGCCUUCGGGUUGUAAACCUCUUUCAGCAGGGACGAAGCGCAAGUGACGGUACCUGCAGAAGAAGCACCGGCCAACUACGUGCCAGCCGCCGCGAAAA
Molecule: ribosomal RNA, 481 nt
Filed under: uncultured bacterium
Lineage: Bacteria
Description: partial 16S ribosomal RNA
Rfam family: Bacterial small subunit ribosomal RNA
Source: RNAcentral